AGCGAACGCUGGCGGCAGGCCUAACACAUGCAAGUCGAACGAACCUUUCGGGGUUAGUGGCGGACGGGUGAGUAACACGUGGGAACGUGCCUUUAGGUUCGGAAUAAAUCAGGGAAACUUGUGCUAAUACCGAAUGUGCCCUUCGGGGGAAAGAUUAAUCGCGUUUAGAGCGGACCGCGUCUGAUUAGCUAGUUGGUUGAGGUAAUGGCUCACCAAGGCGACGGUCAGUACCUGGUCUGUGAGGAUGACCGGCCACAUUGGGACUGCGACACGGCCUAUACAUCUACGGGAGGCAGCAGUAGUGUAUCUUGCGCAAUGGGCGAAUGGCUGACGCAGCCAUGUCGCGUGAAUGAUGAAGGUCUUGCUAUUGUUUAUUUCUUUCACCGGGUACGAUGAUGACGUUACCCUGAGAAGAAGCCCCGGCUAACUUCGUG
This 434-nucleotide ribosomal RNA is filed under the name uncultured bacterium. RNAcentral describes it as "partial 16S ribosomal RNA". It matches the Rfam family "Bacterial small subunit ribosomal RNA", at positions 29 to 507 of the family's 1533-position model. The record is from RNAcentral.